UUUAUUUAUGUGAGAGAGAGACAGACAGGGAGGGAGGGAGGGAGAGAGAAAGCUAGAGCAUGCACAGCAGCAGGAGGGGCUGCAGGCAAAAGGAGAGCGAGAAGCAGACUUCCCGCUCAGCAGGGAGCCCGAUGCAGGACUCCAUCCCAGGACCUUGGAAUCAUGACCUGAGCUGAAGGCAGAUGCUUAAUCAAAUGAGCCACUCAGGCGCCCCUUGAUGCAGGUAUUUCUUCUAGAACAUUUGAAGAUCCUUAAAAACUACAGCCCUAAAAAGACAGGGCUUGUGGGGGGAAAAAUUGGGAUCCAAGAACCCACAGGACUUUGUCACCAGGAUUCUUGCAAGAUCCAUGAUAAUCCUCCUAAAAACAUGAACCCGGCUAAAUCUUCCUGGGCCUAGUCAUGCAUCUCAGCUAUCAGUGCUGUGCAACUUUUUCCCUGGGUUUGUGCUUCCUCCUUGCAGAGGGAAGUCCUUGAGGACACUCACUUCUAAAAGAGACUAGAGCCGUCAAACUUAAAAAUAUGCGUCAGGGACCCCCUUCUUCAUCAAUCGUGUGUUUUCUCCUCUCCAGCACAGGAGGGCCUAUCCUCACAGAGUUUUCAUCUACAGUUGUCACUCCCCAAACACAGCAGGAACCAAAGUGGUCCUUGAAGUCACGAAAUCAGCCACUACUUGCACCAAAAGGAGGCACUUCCACACUAUUCUUGGCUUCUUUCUGAAGGUCUUCAUAUCCUGCUGAGGCCUUCUGAUUCCUUGUGAGAUCAAUGCAGAAUGUGAACACGUUAGGGAAAGUCUCACUCUGUUCCUGCCAAUGAGACCCGCGCAUCCUAUGGGCCUCAUGCCUUGCUGUGGAGUUGCCCAUCAGCUCCUUGGAUUUAAAAAUUUUUUUCGGGCAGCCUUGGUGGUACAGCAGUUUAAUGCCGCCUGCAGCCCGGGGUAUGAUCCUGGAGACCCGGGAUGGAGUCCCAUGUUGGGCUCCCUGCAUGGCGCCUGCUUCUCCCUCUGUCUCUGUCUCUACCUCUCUCUCUUUCUCUCUGUGUCUCUAUGAAUAAAUAAAUAAAAUCUUAAAAAUAAAUAAAUAAAUAAAAAUAAAAAUUUUUUUCUUCCUAUCGAUUGAUCGGUAAAAUUCACAUAACAUAAACCUGACCAUUUUAACCAUCUUUAAGUGGACAGCUCAGCGGUGUUAAAUAUUUUACUGCAAUAAAAAAAAAAGUAAGUCCGCUAAAAACAGAUUUAACCAAAAGAUUAAAAAAAAAAAAACAAGAUCAGAAGAUAAUCAUAAAUUACUUUUACCACCGUCCUCCUCCUAUUUUUCCUCUUGUCUUUUCUCGAGUUAGCACUAUGCAGAGCAGAUCAGCAGCAGUGGCUGGCCUUAUCCGCAACAGCUUAGGCCACGGUCUGGGGAAGAGCCUUAUGAUCAUCAUUGUAUGUUAUACUCCAGAAGCCUGAAGGGUUCUGAGAUAAAAACAUAUAGUAAAUGUUUCUCAUUCUUUCCAAGCAUGUGUUUUAGGAGGAAAUAAGAGAGAAACUGAAUGCCUCAACCAGUAUGCAAGUGGAACCUUCUAGAGUCAAUAUAGGCCAAAGGUGGCUAUCUGAUGAUCCAGGUCCAAAUCAUGGCUGUGCGGCCUUGAGCAAGGGGUUAAAACUUUUUAGGCCUCAGUGUGCAAGCUAUAAAGUGAGGAUAAUGUGACAAGUAAAUGGGUUAAUAUAGUUACUGCAUUUCCAACAGCAUAAGACACACAAAAGUCAUCACUAAAUAUUAUCUGUUAUCAUUGAAAGGCCAAGACCCACCAACCCAAAUACUUCAGGUGGAAAGCUCAGUAAUGAGGCAUUUUUAUUUUGUGUAGUUGAACUUCAAACUGGCUUAUUCUUAGAAUUCAUAAAAAUACCUUAAAAACCGUAAGGACACGAAUAAUUGUUCUUUCAGUGACGAAAAUAAAUACUCUUUUUUAGCUUAAAAAAAGGCUCAUUGUUAUUCUUGGUAGUCAAUGGCACAAGGGUUGUUAUUAGGAUGGAAAAAAAAAAUCUUGACAGCUUUGACUUAACUCCUACACUCAGAGGAUGUCAUUUAAUUUAAAAGUGCAAACACACACAAAGGCAAGAGAAGAAAUGCCUGUUUAAAACCAUCCCCUCUUCAAAACUUGCAGAUGGAUCCCGCUACAUAAUAUUUUUAGAGUUUAUUUAUAAACUUAGAUACUUUAGACACGUUUUGUGUAAAACUUAAUGUUUAAACUCUGAAAACUUUUUUCUUGAAUUCUAGAAAAAUAAAAGAUUCCAGUGUCUCCUCUAUCAAUGAUGUUAAACGCACAAUAGACACAUAAAUAAUAAACUAGGGCGCAGCGGGGGUGGGGACCACCUUCAGAAGAACCCCUAGGGAGCUGCCAGGACCACAGUGAUGGGCACCAGGCUGCCACAAACACCGCCUCACACCAGACACAGUGCCCAGGGCAGGGAGGCUGUGACAUCAAACUUCCGGUGGGUGUCAAGAAAAUGACUGAAGAAGGACAUUACCACAGAAAUUUCAGAGCAAUUGGGAAAUCUUCCAUUCCUGGCCAGGAAACCCUCUGCCACGUCAAGGCAGGGAGCAGGGGCGACAUGAGACGGAUGAGAACCUUCCACUGUCAGGAAGACCUUGGGCGAUGAAGACAGCCAGUCACUACCAAAAAUGGGACUAAAACCCAGGAUGGGCUUCCCUGCCCAAUAAAACAGUACGCCCCUCAGACCAGUAGUUCACUAAUGUGAAGGCCAAGUUGGAGGAAGGCAUCAGGAGCUCUCUGCACGCAAAUGCUGCACAUGCCUGUGCGCCUCAUGACCAAGUGUGCAGCUGAAAACAGACGGUGGUAGGGUGGGCCCUGCCAGCGACCACCGGAGCACUCUCAAUGCCCGCCACCUGAUGGGGAGCAACACAGCCUGAGUAGCUCCCAGGCUGACAGGUGCUGAGUCUGUUGUUUAUUCUCGGCCAGCGCUAUGUUGGUACUGAGACACUAAAUGUACAAACAAGCAGUGGCCAGAGAAUAUGCAGAUACAGAACUCUGAGUGCAACCUGGCCGGGAAGCCAAGUGCUAUCUACAGUAACCAGCCCAGGAAGCCAGCCUGCUAUCUCAUGCCUGCAGGAAGUCAGGCCACCACCACUGGCAAGAAUCCAAAAUGCCAACCAACAACCUUGGUAACAAUCAGCCCCAAAUGGCCAGGACUUGAGUAAAAAUGGAUAACGUCCCUAAUUUCCAACACCCCCCCACUACUAACUUAGGAACUACUAGAGAAAGCCGAGCAUAUGCCCUUAACCGAUCACAGAUGCUCCUCGUUCUUGAGCCCACCUCCAACUUCCCCAUGCCGACAGUCUCCAGUCAGGGCACACUGGGGGCCUCUCCCCUUCCACUGUACAGCUUCACCUCUCCUCUGCUUGCCUCUGAGCCUCCGCCAAAACGCAAGAGAUGAUGGCCGACUCCCUCGCUACACUCAGCUCUGCAUAAAUAGCCUUUACUGGUUCUCUUCUGGCUGGCCUUCAUUUAUUUCCACAGUCCUGUGUUGCUCAUGCCUUCCUCAUCCUUGCCUCUAUCUCCUUCCUGAGCUAGAGAGGUCUGAAGAAAAUUACCUUUGGGGACGCCUGUGUGGCCCAGUGGUUGAGCAUCUGCCUUUGGCCCAGGGCAUGAUUCUGGGGUCCCGGGAUCGAGUCCCACAUCAGGCUCCCUGCAUGGAGCCUGCUUCUCCCUCUGCCUGUGUCUCUGCACUCUCUCUCUCUCUCUCUCUGUCUCUCUCUCAUAAAUAAAUAAAAUCUUUAGAAAAUUAUCUUUGUUGAAAGAAUCAACCACUGCUCUGGGAAAAGGUAGACCUACACAAGACCAAUGUGCACAAUUACAUUGUGCAUUUACAAUUACAAAGCAUUCUUCUUACUUUCAAUUAGCAUACAUGACUUGCCUGGACAGCAUCAAUAGUGAAUACUCACUGAUCUGGAUCUGGAACAGCCGAAAGUUCCCCUAUACUCAUCAAUCUAACAGCUCAAUGGAGAGGCAAUAUAUUAUUAAGGAUUGUUUCAAAAGGCACCCUCAGCCCAUGCAUGUCAGUCUUAUACCCUACACCUUCUACGCCUGUAGAGCCAAAGGGGAAUUAUGUGGAAAUCACUUCAUAAUCACAGGAUCCUCUGCAUGGCUGGGAGAAAAGAAACGUGAACUUUUCGGUAGAGUUUAUGUAUCCCUAUGUAUGCAUCCUUAUGUUUAUGUAUCCUUCUCAUUUUCUGAAAAUUGGUGCUCUGAGUAUGAAAUACAUGGUUAAGGAGAAUCAUCCAAAUGGUGGCUGCUCUGAGCUCCUGAGUCCCAAACAUCCCAGGCAAAAGGCCCUGCGGCCCCUCUAAGCACCAGCUCCCUCCCCUGGCAUCCGGCCCUCAGUGGCAUCCGGCACAUGGGGGUGUGCGGGGCACAGGGGGCACACAAGGCCUGGAAUUCCUUAGUUCUAGUAUGGGAUGUCACCCAGCAUCUUCUCAUCUUUUAAUCCCUCUGAACGAUUCACUUACAGGUGAAGUCCUGAGCAGGCUUCCUUCAUACAUAAGUCCUUUUCAAAACCUCACUUACUUCCCUUAUAAAGAGAUCCUUCAGUC
RNAcentral lists this long non-coding RNA (4592 nucleotides) under Canis lupus familiaris (dog). RNAcentral describes it as "lncRNA (ENSCAFG00000050782.1)". Lineage: Eukaryota; Metazoa; Chordata; Mammalia; Carnivora; Canidae. The record is from RNAcentral.